Long non-coding RNA from Sapajus apella (tufted capuchin), 2831 nucleotides. RefSeq lists it as uncharacterized. The record is from RefSeq and is a predicted model, not a curated record. Lineage: Eukaryota; Metazoa; Chordata; Mammalia; Primates; Cebidae. The transcript is spliced from 2 exons.
AUAAAACAGCAACAAAAAAACCUAUAUGGUCAUGAAAUAUAUUUCCUUUCUCUGUAGCUCUACCUGUGCAUAGGUACUACAGUUCCAAGCAGACCCAUAUCUAUUGUAAAAUAGAAAUUACUGCCCACCUUCUUACCCUAGCCUCCCAAAUCCUUCAUGGACUUUGGCCAAAGUCCACUGAAAGAUGGGCAAAGAGCAGAGGUAGAAUUCUGGGUGAAAGUUGUGCUCGGUGAUCCAAAAGGGAAAAAUAAAAUCUGCCAGCAGUUAUUCUGGGGUUUGCACAAUUCUAGAAUGAUAAAAAAUGGAGAGAGGGACAAAACAUCUGGGGAUAAUAAGGAGGAAACAAGCAAACUUGGGAAUUAAUAAAAAAUACUGUUUUCCAGAAAGGAGCAUAGCACUUCAAAACAGAUGUUUGGGCUUGAAAUUUUCCAGAACAGAACAAAUGAGAGGGGAGAAGCAAGCCUAAGAACUGGAGCACAGCGGGGCCUUCAUAAAAGAACCACUGGCCGUCAAAGAGUUAACUGCAGUUUGAACAUGCUUAAGUCUUUCAUCUCUUGCUUCCAAAUCCCAUCCCUUCAAAACACACGUCUUUGUCCAUACAUCUCCAAAUGCACAGAGAGAUGUACUUAGGAGCUAACCCCUGAAAAAAACUCCAGAAAGGCACACCAGUGGAGAAUGCCAAGCUGAAGGCAAAUCUCCUUUGCUUCUGGGUAGGGAGAAGAAGGGAAGAGCUAGGCAGAGCCAAUGACCUCCUCUGAGACUGAGGCUGAGUUACAAACACGACUGAGAUCCAAGCUAGAGAUUCAAUAGUAAGAAAAGUGCCUGCUGUUUUCUUGCUCAUUUCUCUUAUCUACCCUGGGAGUUAAGCAUAUGUUAGAGUGAAAGCCACAGACCAUGUGUCCCUGAAGAUACUAGAAGGAACAUUCAGAGUUUUGACAUUAACCUACAGCUGAAGGAGACACUGCCUGUUCCUGGCCCUCUGUAUCUGGAGUAGGUGGGUAUAUAUUAAAGGGUUUUAGAAGUUCAGAAAAAGACCAAACAAGUCAUAAAUGACUAAGAAAAUCACAGCUAUAGUAGAUCUAUAUUUCUGUUCAAUUACACCUUACAUUAUGCAGCUGUUGGAAACACUGUUGACCUGAUUAUAUUUUCUUACAUAAGGUGAUUCUUUCAUGUUCCAAUAAACAGGUGACUCUAUCCACUGCUGUCCAAAAGAGAUAUAAUGAAAACCACAUAUGGAAUUUCAACUUUCUAGUAGCCACAUUUUUAAAAAGAUAAAAAGGUGAAAUUAAUUUAACAAUAUAUUGUUCUUAAUGUACUACAUCCAAAAUGAUUAUUAUUUCAAAAUAUAAUCAACAUAAAAAUUAUUAUUGGCACAUUUCAUUUUUGCAUUAAGCCUUCAACAUUUGGUAUGCAUUGUUCACUGGCAGCACAUUUCAAUUUGGAUUAGUCACAUUUCAAGUGCUCAAUAGCUGAUGUGACCAAUGGCCACCAUAUUGUUCAGCAGUCACUGGUUUGACAUAGUGAUUCUUUUUCUACCCUUUAUUUUUGGCAAUCUAUAUCUUAAUCUUGUUGAAAGAACUGCCAACAAUGUCUCAUCUAACAUAUCAAAAAACAUGUAUCCUCUUUUGAAGCAAAAAUAACUUUUACACAACAAUGAAAAUUUGGUGGAAUUCCUAUGUAAGUAUCACAAAAUAUCAGCAUGUCCUAACUUACCUGUUGAGAAUAACUGGUAAGUGAGAGAAAGAGGGGCUGAGAAGGGAAAAUAUGUUUCUACAAAAAGAUCCAACCAAUAAUUAUCAGAAUGUCUCUUUGAUGGUUUCCACAGUAAAUUGUCAAAUCAAAGCCCUUUAGAGUAUCUAGUCCAAACUUCGUAAGUAAUAAAGAGCUAGGAUGGUCCCUAACCACAAUGAGGCCAUAAUUGGAGAACACAGGAGGAUUGAUUUGAAAAUGUCACAAAUGUUGUUAAUCAACUCCCAUGGACAUAAAAGAUUCAUUAAUUCAUUCUGUAGGCAAUCAAGUUCACCAUGUCUAGGGCAUAUUUUAAGGAAUGAAACUGAAUGGCUGAAAACGCAAAUAAAAGACAUUUUUGAAUAUUUUAAUUUUAAAGUGAAAUAGCAAAAGAUGUAAAUCUCAGAGUUAAGAGUGGCCAAAAUACACUCGGCCUUUAUGUAUACUGCAUUUCAAGUAAAUGGCUCUGAAAGAAAUUCUUUGACCAUAGGAGAGCCUUCAUUCUCUAGCAAUCUCAAUUCCUUGCUAAAUCUUCAGUUAUGAUUUCAUCUAUGCAAGUUAUAAUGAAUUUGUUUUAGUGAUCCAAAAAAGGGAAAUAAAACUGCAUUUUCCUUCAAUCACUCAGCUCAUUUUAAAAGAUUAUUUUUAUAAAUGAUGUUAAAUUGACUUGAUUUUCACAGUUGCUUUCAAUUAAAUCAAAAUGACUCUUUCUGGAACAUACAAAAAAUAGAAAUGUUUAAAAGCAAAUGCUUUGAAAAGUGGAUAAUGUGCUACCCACAACUUCAUGAGAAAUAUUUUUAUUGAAUAAUAUUUAUUAGAAUAGCAUAUCCUUAGCCUUGAUCAUACAUGAUCUAUAAGUCAAAUUUAUGUUGAGAAAUUUUUAUUUUACCAUGCAUUAUCCCCUUGUAUUUCAUUUGUCAACUGAGAAAAAUUUGAGUGCCUCUGUGAGAUACCAUGUAGAUUACCUCUGCAUAAAAUUUAUACCCUAACUAAGGAAGUCAUUACUGAAAUAUGGAAACUCCUUGUCAGAAACUGCUUCUUAAAAUAUAAAAAGAAAGACAAAAUGGAAUUUGAAAAGAAAUAAAAUAAUUUUAAAAACUUUA